AUAUCUCUCCGUACGGGAAGGAUGAGAAGCUUCGACUAAGGUUCGAUUCGAGCGAAAGCGAGAAAGCGUUGCCAACGGCAACGACCCGAAGGGCGAAGCGCGCA
This 104-nucleotide small RNA is filed under the name Salmonella enterica. Its description in RNAcentral is "partial RtT sRNA". It matches the Rfam family "RtT RNA", at positions 1 to 102 of the family's 130-position model. Rfam says of the family: This family represents a bacterial cis-regulatory element known as RtT RNA. The exact function of RtT is unknown although it is thought that it may be involved in changing the cellular response in relation to amino acid starvation. Lineage: Bacteria; Pseudomonadati; Pseudomonadota; Gammaproteobacteria; Enterobacterales; Enterobacteriaceae. The record is from RNAcentral.